GGUAGGGUGACCUGCGGAGGGAUCAUUACCGAGUUUACAACUCCCAAACCCCUGUGAACAUACCACUUGUUGCCUCGGCGGAUCAGCCCGCUCCCGGUAAAACGGGACGGCCCGCCAGAGGACCCCUAAACUCUGUUUCUAUAUGUAACUUCUGAGUAAAACCAUAAAUAAAUCAAAACUUUCAACAACGGAUCUCUUGGUUCUGGCAUCGAUGAAGAACGCAGCAAAAUGCGAUAAGUAAUGUGAAUUGCAGAAUUCAGUGAAUCAUCGAAUCUUUGAACGCACAUUGCGCCCGCCAGUAUUCUGGCGGGCAUGCCUGUUCGAGCGUCAUUUCAACCCUCAAGCACAGCUUGGUGUUGGGACUCGCGUUAAUUCGCGUUCCUCAAAUUGAUUGGCGGUCACGUCGAGCUUCCAUAGCGUAGUAGUAAAACCCUCGUUACUGGUAAUCGUCGCGGCCACGCCGUUAAACCCCAACUUCUGAAUGUUGACCUCGGAUCAGGUAGGAAUACCCGCUGAACUUAAGCAUAUCAAUAAG
This 535-nucleotide ribosomal RNA is filed under the name Fusarium oxysporum. Its description in RNAcentral is "eukaryotic LSU rRNA". The stretch from base 177 to 330 matches the Rfam family "5.8S ribosomal RNA". The record is from RNAcentral. Lineage: Eukaryota; Fungi; Ascomycota; Sordariomycetes; Hypocreales; Nectriaceae.